This 274-nucleotide ribosomal RNA is filed under the name uncultured bacterium. Its description in RNAcentral is "partial 16S ribosomal RNA". It matches the Rfam family "Bacterial small subunit ribosomal RNA", at positions 523 to 796 of the family's 1533-position model. The record is from RNAcentral.
AUACGGAGGGUGCAAGCGUUAAUCGGAAUUACUGGGCGUAAAGCGUGCGUAGGUGGUUUGUUAAGUUAGAUGUGAAAGCCCCGGGCUCAACCUGGGAACUGCAUUUGAAACUGGCAUACUAGAGUAUAGGAGAGGAAAGUGGAAUUUCAGGUGUAGCGGUGAAAUGCGUAGAUAUCUGAAGGAACAUCAAUGGCAAAGGCAGCUUUCUGGACUAAUACUGACACUGAGGUACGAAAGCGUGGGUAGCAAACAGGAUUAGAAACCCUAGUAGUCC